RNAcentral lists this microRNA (24 nucleotides) under Schmidtea mediterranea. RNAcentral's name for it is "sme-miR-87a-5p". Its record names the gene sme-miR-87a-5p. Lineage: Eukaryota; Metazoa; Platyhelminthes; Tricladida; Dugesiidae. The record is from miRBase by way of RNAcentral.
AACACUUGGUAAUUUGCUCAAACC